UGGGGAAUAUUGGACAAUGGGCGCAAGCCUGAUCCAGCAACGCCGCGUGGAGGAUGAAGGUCUUCGGAUCGUAAACUCCUGUCAGACGGGACGAAGGUAGGAGGGCGAACAGUUCUCCUGCUUGACGGUACUGUCAGAGGAAGCCCCGGCUAACUCCGUGCCAGCAGCCGCGGUAAUACGGAGGGGGCGAGCGUUAUUCGGAAUUAUUGGGCGUAAAGGGCGCGUAGGCGGCUGUGCAAGUCAAAGGUGAGAUCCCUCGGCUCAACUGAGGAACUGCCUUUGAAACUGUACGGCUUGAGGCCGGGAGGGGGUAGCGGAAUUCCCGGUGUAGCGGUGAAAUGCGUAGAUACUGGGAGGAACACCAGUGGCGAAGGCGGCUACCUGGACCGGUUCUGACGCUGAGGCGCGAAAGCGUGGGUAGCAAACAGGAUUAGAUACCCUGGUAGUCCACGCUGUAAACGAUGGGUGCUCGGUGUCGCGGGUAUCGACCCCUGCGGUGCCUUAGCUAACGCGUUAAGCACCCCGCCU
This 528-nucleotide ribosomal RNA is filed under the name uncultured bacterium. RNAcentral describes it as "bacterial SSU rRNA". It matches the Rfam family "Bacterial small subunit ribosomal RNA", at positions 355 to 874 of the family's 1533-position model. The record is from RNAcentral.